UACGGAGGGUGCUAGCGUUGUUCGGAAUCACUGGGCGUAAAGCGCGUGUAGGCGGCUUUGCAAGUCGGAUGUGAAAGCCCACGGCUCAACCGUGGAAGUGCAUCCGAAACUGCAUGGCUUGAGUCUCGGAGAGGAAGGUGGAAUGCUUGGUGUAGAGGUGAAAUUCGUAGAUAUCAAGCAGAACACCUGCGGCGAAGGCGGCCUUCUGGACGAUGACUGACGCUGAGACGCGAAAGCGUGGGGAGCAAACAGG
This 253-nucleotide ribosomal RNA is filed under the name uncultured bacterium. Its description in RNAcentral is "partial 16S ribosomal RNA". It matches the Rfam family "Bacterial small subunit ribosomal RNA", at positions 524 to 776 of the family's 1533-position model. The record is from RNAcentral.